GGUCCCCUACGGGAGGCAGCAGUGGGGAAUAUUGGACAAUGGGGGAAACCCUGAUCCAGCGACGCCGCGUGAGUGAAGAAGUAUUUCGGUACGUAAAGCUCUAUCAGCAGGAAAGAAAAUGACGGUACCUGACUAAGAAGCCCCGGCUAACUAUGUGCCAGCAGCCGCGGUAAUACAUAGGGAGCGAGCGUUAUCCGGAUUUAUUGGGUGUAAAGGGUGCGUAGACGGGAAUACAAGUUGGUUGUGAAAGCCCUCGGCUUAACUGAGGAACUGCAACCAAAACUAUAUUUCUUGAGUAUCGGAGA
RNAcentral lists this ribosomal RNA (305 nucleotides) under uncultured bacterium. RNAcentral describes it as "bacterial SSU rRNA". It matches the Rfam family "Bacterial small subunit ribosomal RNA", at positions 333 to 655 of the family's 1533-position model. The record is from RNAcentral.